RNAcentral lists this ribosomal RNA (254 nucleotides) under uncultured bacterium. RNAcentral describes it as "partial 16S ribosomal RNA". It matches the Rfam family "Bacterial small subunit ribosomal RNA", at positions 524 to 776 of the family's 1533-position model. The record is from RNAcentral.
UACGGAGGGUGCGAGCGUUGUCCGGAAUCAUUGGGCGUAAAGGGCGCGUAGGUGGCCCGGUCAGUUCGUGGUGAAAGCGCGGGGCUCAACCCUGCGUCGGCCAUGAAUACUGCCGCGGCUGGAGCACUGUAGAGGCAGGCGGAAUUCCGGGUGUAGCGGUGGAAUGCGUAGAGAUCCGGAAGAACACCGGUGGCGACGGCGGCCUGCUGGGCAGUUGCUGACACUGAGGCGCGACAGCGUGGGGAGCAAACAGG